RNAcentral lists this ribosomal RNA (151 nucleotides) under Isididae sp. HI-161. Its description in RNAcentral is "partial 16S ribosomal RNA". Lineage: Eukaryota; Metazoa; Cnidaria; Anthozoa; Malacalcyonacea; Isididae. The record is from RNAcentral.
UUUCUAUCUACAAUGUUCAAUCCCAACUUUUCUGAGUCCUAGUACGCAAGGAAUGGUCUCAGCGAUGCUCGACUAUAUUGGCCCCAUCGACGUAAUCAACUUCUGGCUGCUGCAAAGAAGGGAGAACAAAAGGUUUAGGGAUUAAUAAGGU